Molecule: ribosomal RNA, 387 nt
Filed under: uncultured bacterium
Lineage: Bacteria
Description: bacterial SSU rRNA
Rfam family: Bacterial small subunit ribosomal RNA
Source: RNAcentral
AUUAAACGCUGGCGGCAUGCCUUACACAUGCAAGUCGAACGGCAGCACGGGGGCAACCUUGGUGGCGAGUGGCGAACGGGUGAGUAAAGCAUCGGAACGUGCCCUGGAGUGGGGGGAUAACGUAGCGAAAGUUGCGCUAAUACCGCAUAUUCUGUGAGCAGGAAAGCAGGGGACCGCAAGGCCUUGCGCUCUUUGAGCGGCCGAUGUCAGAUUAGCUAGUUGGUGAGGUAACGGCUUACCAAGGCGACGAUCUGUAGCGGGUCUGAGAGGAUGAUCCGCCACACUGGAACUGAGACACGGUCCAGACUCCUACGGGAGGCAGCAGUGGGGAAUUUUGGACAAUGGGCGCAAGCCUGAUCCAGCCAUGCCGCGUGAGUGAAGAAGGCC